CAUCUUUAACGGUAAGUUUGAUAGGACGCGGAAUGUUUCGCGAUUAAUUGUGUAUUCCAUCCGUUAAUAGUGCAUAACAAGUAUAAAUUUUUAUCGGGAGUGUCGAUCAAAGUAACGGGCGAUUGUCAAAAAGUAUAUCGCGGAUGCUCGUGAUUAUCGGGAAUGUUGAUCAAAGUGACGAGCGAUUGUCAAGAAGUAUACUGGGGAUAGUUGCGAUUAUCGGUAGAUGCUCCGGUGGAUUCCGAUGUUCUCUCUCUUUCUCUUUUUACGCGCGGUAUAAUUUUCGUUAGAUAUUUACGUCUCGUAGCAUACCGAAAACUUAUCUUGUUAGCAUUAAUUCGGGCGAAAUUAAGCAGUGUUGUAGUGAAUUAUCGUCGGAACGUAUAUUUACCGUGAAUGUUCGCGAUUCUCAGUGAUUCGUCGAUUGUUUAGUGCUGCAUCCGUUUAGUGCAAACUGCUUUCCAUUCGCAAUUGAUUACAUAAUUAAAUGCAGAAUUAUGAUUUAUUCAUUUAUUCUUCGAUGGAGCUGGAACAAUCGAUGGAUGUGCAGCAAUCUGAAAUGAAAUGUGGAUGGAAUAGACUGCAAUAUUCUAGUUGAUACAGCUGCAGAUGCACUUAACUAGAGUACAACGACCAGUACGCAUCGACACCCCCGUAAUGAAAAUAACGCAAAGUGCAACGAGGCUUACGAGGGCGAUCGUGAUGGAUACUUCGCUCUUCGUCUUCUUUUUCUUCAGCCUCUUCCUAUACUUGACUCUUUCCGUCUCUUCGCUCCUUCUACUACGACAUUAACGGAUGGUUUGCCUCGACGGAAAUCUGACAUAUCGAUCACGUCGUCGUGUAAUAAGGAAGCGGCGUGGAUCAUC
Molecule: long non-coding RNA, 866 nt
Organism: Linepithema humile (Argentine ant)
Lineage: Eukaryota; Metazoa; Arthropoda; Insecta; Hymenoptera; Formicidae
Source: RefSeq, a predicted model, not a curated record